UACGUAGGGUGCAAGCGUUGUCCGGAAUUAUUGGGCGUAAAGGGCUCGUAGGCGGUUUGUCACGUCGGGAGUGAAAACUCAGGGCUUAACCCUGAGCCUGCUUCCGAUACGGGCAGACUAGAGGUAUGCAGGGGAGAAUGGAAUUCCUGGUGUAGCGGUGAAAUGCGCAGAUAUCAGGAGGAACACCGGUGGCGAAGGCGGUUCUCUGGGCAUUACCUGACGCUGAGGAGCGAAAGUGUGGGUAGCAAACAGG
Molecule: ribosomal RNA, 253 nt
Filed under: uncultured bacterium
Lineage: Bacteria
Description: partial 16S ribosomal RNA
Rfam family: Bacterial small subunit ribosomal RNA
Source: RNAcentral